UAUCUGUUACAAAACUGUAUCAAAGUUUCUUCCAAACCCUCACUUCAAUUCCCUAGGAACAGCAAAUCACAACCCUUACAAUAAAAGUUUGGGAGAAUAAGAUUUGCUGUUAUACAGGAUUCCCUAAUAGGACUUCAUCAUGCUAGCAGAUGGACAGAUGAAUUUCCAUCCCUGGGUUCUCGUCCUUCAUUCCUGAAAAACAAAGUCCUGGACCGUCCUGUAGUUAAUAACAUCCUGGGAGGAACAAGCAGCAAGUACCAGGCAGGUAACCUACAUACUCCUGCGGCUUUAAGAAGGAGUGGAUGGGUUUGUGAUACUGAAGACUAGCACAGGAAAAGCAGAAUAACCAGAAAUACAGACAGGAAACAUCUCAUGAAUUUGCUUCUUAAAGUACAUUUCUACUUCUCUGUGUGUCUGAAAGGAUGAAGACUUGAAAACUUCACUUGGCAAAUCAUUUCACCAUUUUACACAGCAGAACUCAGCAUCAUGAGCUUUUCUCCUAACUUUUCAGCUAAAUCAUCUCCUGUUAAUCCCAACCUGCUGCUCCAAGCUUACACACACGAACAUGAUGUGCAGCUGAGGACUUAGCAUUGACCAAAGAAGAAAAGAGGAUUUCCAGCUGGAUCCAUGAAACCCUUCUUUUCAUCAGGGAGCACAGUGUGGUUAAUGUCAAAAGAAGCAUUCAAGUAGAUUAGCAAAGAUCUGCCUAGUAACAAAUACAUGAGUACCAUACAGUGUCCAGCAAUACCCAGCACUCUCUCCAAAUAACAAAGUUGCGGCAUGAAAUAUGAAGCUAAUGGGAAAGGAAAAGUGUGAAAACAAGCAGCACUUCAGUUAAAAAAAAAAAAAAAAAAAAAAAAAAAAAAAAAAGAUGAACUCCCAAGCCUCUACACUAUUUGUGACUAAAAGACCAGUUCAAGCAUUUUUUUUUUCCUGAAAAUGAAGUUACAGCAUGAGAUCAAGCAUUUCCCAGUAAAAUGCAGUUAAGUGGGUCAAUCUUCAGCUACACAAAACCAAAAAAGCUCUUUGAAGACUAAUUGUAACCUACAUGGGAGGCUUUCAAAGGAGAAUGAAAGUGAGAGAUACAGACUUUAUAAGUCAAAAUAAUUGGUUAAGUAUAAAAGCUCUGAUGAAACCCAAUCAUUUUAAUGGUUGCUGUAGAAGAAAGCUUUGGAGGAGGGAGAGCCAGCCAAACUCUGCAUGUGAAGUGGGGAUCAAUGUCUGCUUCAAAGCACAUGUUCCAGCUGAGUAUUUAUUACGGUCUGAGGGCAGUAUGCAUAGUGAGAGGAAAUGAAAUGAAAGAGGUGGAUUCCAAACAUAUGUAAGACUGGUCACCAACAACAUAUUUGAGAGCCCUCAUAGGAUUGACCUAUCUUACUGAGAAGAAUAUGUUUGGGGACAUAAGUACAGAAACUGUGCUGUAGAGACUGCUAUAAAAUCUCUUUUUCUCUUAAUGGUGGAAAAAGUCAAGAUCGGGUGGGGGACGGGGAGAUAAAUGGUACAAAUAGCUAAGACAGUUGGCUCACAUCCUUCUGAACUCUUGCCAUAAACAAUGUCUGGGAAUGGCCAGAGGCUCCUCCAGCAUAGAAGCUGUGCUCGUUCCAAUGGCAGAAAACUAGAAUUUCCAGUGCAAGUUCUGUGUGAAUUACAACAAGGUCAAGCCGCCCAAACCUGCACUUUUCUGAAGAUCCAGAGAGAACAGAAUUGAAAUGGCCACAUUUAAUUCCAUCGUUAUUCUUGUCCUGAGUUCUCAGUGGACACUAGAAAAAAAUGAGACAACCUGUCUGAUCUGCUGAGUCAAAAUCAGCUGGUAAAGUGGGAAAAAGCACUGGGUGGUUGAAAGAUAACAUCCCUUUUAAGCUUUACCACAUCAAGGUAGCCCUGAUUUUUCUCUGCCAUUCAGCAUAGUUCACUGCAUCUUCUAUCACCUUGCAGAAUCUGUGGUAGCACCAAAAUGACAGGCUAAUUUGCUUUUAAUAUCUUAUUUGAAAAUAAUAUGAGUACAAGUUUUCAAAAUCUUCAAUGAGGGUCCCUAGAAAUUACCAUUCAAGUAAUGUGAGAAUGGUUUUUGAAGAUAUCUGACAUUCUUUUUGUUAAAAUUACUUCAAAGUGAUAUGAAUAAUGUCUAUUCUCAAAUUGUUAAAAUAAAGAGUAACUUCAUAUGUUUCAAACUACAGAUACACACCAGGAACACUGUGAACACUAAUAGCAUUUGGAUUUUAUAAUGAUGAAUUAACAAGUAAACAGGAAACCAUCACUCUGAAAGUCUCAUGAGGCAGAUAAGGAAUGAGAGAAUUCUGGCCCGACAUAUAUCUCUUCACAUAUUUCUAUGCAUACCUAAUAAAUACACAUUACAUAAACACAUAUAUGUUUGAGUAUAUACAUAUGUGGAAAGACUUAUAGAGAUAAUUUCCAUAUUAGCUUAAAUAAUAAAUAUAAACAGUUUCAAUUUAAUGGAAUAUAAGGGUAGCACAGUUAAGCUUUAAAUAUUUAAAAUGUGUCCAAAUAAGUUUGCACAGGAAACCUUACAUUUUUCUUUUCUGUGCCAUAUGCCAAGACAAUAUUUCAUUCGAGUAUCAUACACUUAUUUUUCCCCAGAGGGUCUCUGUCUAUUUAGUGCACAGGAUGGACUGUUCUCAAUGAAAAAACACUUAAUGAAAAUAAAUCAAAAUAUUUAAAUGUUUAAA
This is a long non-coding RNA of Dromaius novaehollandiae (emu), 2687 nucleotides long. RefSeq lists it as uncharacterized. The record is from RefSeq and is a predicted model, not a curated record. Lineage: Eukaryota; Metazoa; Chordata; Aves; Casuariiformes; Dromaiidae. The transcript is spliced from 2 exons.